GCCUGCCCCUCCUCUCUUCGAGCGUUUGCGGAGAAGCCUUCGGUUUCAUUUCCCUGCUCCGGCACCGGUGGCGGCCCGCGCGUCCUGCGGGGGCCCCCCGAGCCGGAUCAUCGCGGUUUAGAGCGCCCUUCCCCGGGGUCCCCCAGGGUCUCGGAGGGGCAGCCCCGGAGCCGGCUAAAAAUAAAGCCUUUCCUCCCCUGCACCCUCCCCCACCCCUUCCUGCCGAAGAACUAAAUUCCGCGGAAACCUCAUUUCUGCAUUCUGCAUUCACAUCCUUAAGACAUUCCGGGGCUGGGACAACGAGGCCACUUUCUGCGGGAACAAAAACGGCUGUUGUGACUUGGGGAGGGGAGUGCCGCGGCCUCUCGGAUUAGGGCGGUGUGUGCGCGGGGUGAGCGUUAAUAGGGACUGCUGGUGUAAGACGAGCAAAUCCUGUUUCUAUAUAAAGCCUUGAAGUGUCAGGGCGAGAAUGGGUUUGCAGGGGAUGCAUUUGCUUUAACAAGUGCCUCUGGUAUCCUGCUAAAGCCGGACAAAGCGUGGCCAGAUCGUGGCCCAGCCUCUCGGCCUGCGGGAGGGCAGCGCCGGCGCCGGCUCGGCUGGGGGCGGCGCGGGGGCCGCCGCCGGAUUUCGGUGCAGGCGAGUUCGCCGCAGAUUUGCUCCAAGAGGAGAGAGCUGGGGCCUCCCUGCACUCCAGACCUCUCCCGGGAGAGAGCUGUUCCUUGGCNNNNNNNNNNNNNNNNNNNNNNNNNNNNNNNNNNNNNNNNNNNNNNNNNNNNNNNNNNNNNNNNNNNNNNNNNNNNNNNNNNNNNNNNNNNNNNNNNNNNNNNNNNNNNNNNCCUCGCCGAGACCCUGGAGGUCACUGGCCAGCGCCGGCUGAGCUUGCAGGAAGCCUGAGUGGCUGCGCGUUUGGGGACCCGCUGGUCACCCUGGAAGAUGCAGGCACCACCAGGCCAGGUGGGAACAGGGUCUGGGUGACCCGAAGCAUUGUCUGGCUCAUUCCAAGUUUGACCAUGUGGUUCUUGGAUCGUAGGCCAUGGAGGGACUGGAGAAAUCAGCGCUACUGCCUGGAGCGAUUGGGGAUCGUGCCUCUCCUCGGAGGGAGCCCGUCUAGCAGGAGGCAGCCCUGCCCGGGAGAAGCCGGGUCCCCGCCCCCUCUUCCAGCCGUCAGCUACAGCUACUGCCCUUCAUCCUUCUCUGUGUGUUGCCCUUGGGGCCAAAGGAGAAUCACUGGGUCUCCACCCAAGCAAGGCGGAGGUUUCGGCAAUGUGACUGCGGGUGGGUUCUCCUCUCCACCCCUUCUCUUGGCUUCUUUGGCGUGUAAAUGGUCCGGCCUGGAAGCCAGGUGCCCUGGGCCUGUGGUUGUUGUUGGGAGUAUACAGGGCGGCAGGUUCCUUCUGGUGGGAGAACCACAAACUUCUCUCCGCUAAAAGUGCUUCUGAUCCUCAAUCUCAAAAAGAAAAACGCAGUGGGGGGUGGGGUGGGGAAGAUAAUUUCCUGGUGUGAAAAGACCCCAUCAAAGGAUCCCCCUCCUUUCUCUCGUGAUAUUUUUUCGUAUAGGAAAAAAGAUACAAUUUCGUAAAUACCUCAUUAACUCAAUGACACGAUGGAGUGUUUCGGCAACCGUUACCAACAUUAAGUAGGUGUGAAAAGAGUUACUUUCCGAAGACUCUACCCGUCCUGCUCUGUAAGUGGCAGAAGCAAACAUCAAAGCCACGGCUGCCCUGUGGAGCCCAGAAUCCGGCGGCCGCGUGGACUGGCCAGGCUGCGGCCGCCUCACCCACCCCAACGAAGCCAUUUUUGGAAUGUGGGUUUUUUCUCAGUGGGGCUUGUACUGCCCCCAUGUCUGAUUAUUCCUACAGGGAUAUUCCUAUAGGAAUAUCCAGGUCACGUGAGCACUAAAGCAAAUUAGCCAUAGAGGCAGGGAGUGGCCUUGUGCGGAUCCCAAAUCACCCCCAAAUGCUCCCGUUUAUUCUUAGAAAUCUCCCUCGUCUGCUGUGAGACUGGGUUCAACAGCCCGCACAGACAGGACAAAACGCACAGGAGGCUGUUAGAAUAACAUGGAGGGAGCUAAAAAUACCCCUCAGAAACACACAUAAAAAAGCCAAAUCCAACAACAGAACGAGCUAAAAAUAUUCCAGGCUUUGGCAAAGAGCACAGAGUUAAAUAAAUUAUACAAGAGCCAUUCAUGGGAGCAAGUUGACUUUCUCUCUUACGGGAACUUGGUUCAAGCUAAUAAAAAUAAUAAUUUACUGGCCACUGAGCUUUGCUUGAGUUUAGAUUUAAUUGGUGGGGCUUCUGGCAUUUGUCACUUCUUGGCGAUUAGUGGGCUUGCCCUGGCCUGGAGUGGGAUGGGGAGGGGGUACUGAGUCUGGGUCCCUGGAAGCAGGGGCAGGGUUCUCCGCCCCCCACCCCACCAGAGGAGCAGGGCCUGGGUACAAGGGCAGGAUGCCCAGGAGGCCGGAGAAGGAGGGAGGCUGCAGGGGAGUGGUCAGGGAAGGCAGAAAAGGGACAGGCAAGGCGCCGCUAUUUUAAUUUGAUAAAUGAUCGUACACCUUUAAGAGUGUGUUUUAACAAUCAAGAUACACUCCAGCAAGUUGAUAGGAUGUUCGCUGUCAACUUACAUAUGUCAUCAGCGCGGGCUGUGAGCAUAAAUAAUGUGCGAGAGUGUGCGGGAUGCGCUGCAGCCUCUCCGGGAGGCCGGCAGGUAGCACCCCUGUCUCUCCUGCGGUCUGGAGGCAGCUGCCAGAGGAGGAAAGGCGUUGGGGAAUUCAGGCCGGGUCUUUCCUCUCUGGGGAGUUCCCAGAUCUCCUCACCAAAAUAAGAGCUCCAGACAGUUUGUUCAGGGAAACCACUGAGGGCGUGAUCUGAGGCUGGAAUCCAAUAUUGGCUGGUGUCUUUUCAGGGCAGAUGUCUUAAGUUCAGCCAUUUCCCAGGAAUGUCAGACUUCCACCUUGGGAUUAGGGUCAGAGUAACCUCCUUUGCUGUCUCUGCUUAUUUGCUUGCUCUUGAUGGGAUGCCCACCCCACCCUCCGAAAUCCCAGCAGGCCCUCUCAACUCCCAAAGGACUACACUUCCCAGAAUGCCCCUGGUCUAGCUCCAGAGUCUGAGCCUGGGACCGGCCCUAAACUGGGAAUUCCCAAGCUCAAAUAGAGUUCAGCCAGUACCACUGGGAAUGUGUGCUUUCUGGGUGGAAAGAGGCCUUGGUCACCACCCCCAGGGUCCCCUUGCCCUUUCUUCUGAAAGAGGCCUCUGGGCCCCCCCCCCCCCCCCGCCCCCNNNNNNNNNNNNNNNNNNNNNNNNNNNNNNNNNNNNNNNNNNNNNNNNNNNNNNNNNNNNNNNNNNNNNNNNNNNNNNNNNNNNNNNNNNNNNNNNNNNGCCCUUUCUUCUGAAAGAGGCCUCUGGGCCCCCCACCCCCGCCUGCCCUCUUCCCUACCAUAAAUAUCUAGGCCCCCAAAGAUAAGCGCUGCCCCUCUAUCCCAGGGACUUUGUGCAGCAGGGCCGGCAGCUGCCUUGAUUGGCGUGGCCAGAGUCUCAGGGGGAUUCCCACCAGUUGCCCUGAUCUCAGCCCUUUGCACAGGGCUUUCUCAGAGGGGCCCUGGACACUCUGGCCAGAGGUCAGCAUGGAAGGGAUUUGGGGACUCCACCUGGGUGGCCUCAGGGCUGAUCUCUGCUUAGAGAGUCCAACAAGAAAAUCCUGCGCAGCCUCUGGAGCAUCGCCCCUCUUCCCAGCCUCACGUCACCAGGCAGCAGUAGCCCUGUCAAUGCCAUAUUGACUAGCAUCCGCCUUGGAUGACUUCUGAUGACUAGAAACCAUCCCCCCAGGGCGGAGGUGCUGCCUUAGCCCCUCGGAAGGGGGCCCGUCAUCACCCAUCCAAAGUUCUCACUCGGGCCACUACCAAGCGGCCUCUUGGAAAGGUGGGCGCCCCUUGGAAAGGCCAUCCUUGGAGGUCUUUGCUGGGCCUUGUGCCAGAGCUCUCAAGCUGAUGCCAGGGCUUCAGGGUGUGGCACCUGCCCUGUUUGGCAGUAGGUGCCUCGCACAGCUGGGCUCCACCUGCCUCACCUGCCAGGGGACGGCUCCCCCGGGGUUCCUUGGUCCCUAUUAGCCUCUGGGGCCUUCUUUCUCCCACCAAAGGUUCAGGAUUAAAAGCAAACAACAAGAUCACAACCAGCAUGCACUGUCUAGAACACAUCCCUGCAGCUCCGGGCUGUGCCAAGGAAGGUUCGGGCCUUGCAGCCUGUGCUCCGGGGCUGCUGCUCCAUCUCGGCUUUGACGCCCUGCCCGCUGACGUUUUUAUGGGAUAAUAUACCGUUUAGAUCACGCAGGCCUAUUUGUCAGUGGGCCGCCCCUGUUUGUUGUAAUAUAUAAUAUUACUGCCUCCCGUGGCCCUGCCAGCAGCUGCCACCAGAGGAUGGGGACCAGUCGGGAACUGGGUGUGGGAUUGGAAAGGGGAGGGCGCAGGGUGGGAGUUGCCCCAGCCCCACAUAGGGGCUUGGAGUGGGUUUGCAGCAGGCCUAGGGCCUGGCGGGGAGGCAUCCAGUGCCCAAGCAGGGAGCCAGCCGGGCUGGCAUCCGAGGGCUGCUGCAGCUGUCCAGACGAUUAGGUUCCAGAUUGGAUAAGCCAGGANNNNNNNNNNNNNNNNNNNNNNNNNNNNNNNNNNNNNNNNNNNNNNNNNNNNNNNNNNNNNNNNNNNNNNNNNNNNNNNNUGCCCCCUCACUCCCUCCCCAGGGCCCCCAACAAAGAGUCCAGUGUCUUUAGAUCCAAAGAUGUUUGACACUGGGGAAGGGGGACCCACUGUGUGCCUGGAACAGAAGGGAAAGUUACAGCAGUCCUGUUCCAUCCAAGUGCAGGGACUUGGUUUCCAGUAGAAAUUACCAGAAAUGCAGGGGAGGGGCAGAGGAUGCCUGUGCUGCCGAGAGAGGCCCCUGCGCGGCAGACUGGGGUCCCCCAGGGUGGCCUGGGGCUGUCUUCUUGGGGCACCCCGCCAAGUGAGAGAGAAUCAUCAGCCACAUUUAAGUGGUGGUUUAUGGACUAAACCACCCUCUGCCGUCUCCUUGAGAAGAGGCAGUCUUGGCUCUAUCCCUGUGCUCCUCCUUCAGGGAAGCCAGGGCCUCUCUUCCUUGGGACUUUGUUCUCAAAGGCAGCUCUGGGGAGGACACCAUGGCCCUAAUAUCACACAGCCAGGCCAGGGAGGGCCCCCUCCCCUCAAGGCAGGUGUGCUGGGAGCCCAGCUGGAUGGGGGUGAAAAGAAGGCAGGUUGGGGACAGUGGGAUGAGACCCUAGGGGUGGGACCCAGGGUGGGGAUGUGCUGAUGGGGGUGGGGAAGGAGCUGCACUUCCAGGCUGCUCUCCACCAGCAUCUCAGGGUGGCUCCAUGUGGCAGGCUCCAACUUAGCACCAGCCUUGCUGCCUGGCCCUGCUUGUGUCCCCUUUGGGGGCAGAGGCACAGACCCUGUCGUCGUCCCCACAGGCUCGCCAGCACAUUAACUGGCCGAGCUCACACAUGCAUGGACACUCAGCACGCCUGAUCACGUGUGCUCAUACCCUGAGGUAUGUCCUUACACUCACAUGUGCUCACACUCAUACACAGACACAAUGGGCCUUCAAGGAAUCACAUCCCAGUUGGCCUGGGAGGUAGCCAGUGGGCCCAGUGAUCAGAAUGUGUGUUCUGGUCUGUCUCCACUUCCCACCUCCUGCUCCAUCCUGCAGCUCCUGGCCAGCUGCCGGAGGUGGAGCCUAAAGGUCCCCAGUGACCUUGGUUGACAGACUCAGAGCCCGACAUGCCGGGGUUGGUGCUGGUGAGCUGCCUGCCCUUGCUUCAGCCCCCUCCUUCCCUCUGUUACCAUGGAACCCAUCUUUUGGUUUCCACUGAACUGGAGCUGGUCCUAUCCCAGCACCUGCCCCAGGCUUCUUCCAGUGAAUCUGUUCAGUUCAUUUCUGUCACUCAGUCAUGUCCGAUUCUUUGCCACCCCAUGGACUGCAGCACACCAGGCUUCCCUGUCUAUCACC
RNAcentral lists this long non-coding RNA (6006 nucleotides) under Capra hircus (goat). Its description in RNAcentral is "lncRNA (ENSCHIG00010028927.1)". Lineage: Eukaryota; Metazoa; Chordata; Mammalia; Artiodactyla; Bovidae. The record is from RNAcentral.